This 290-nucleotide signal recognition particle RNA is filed under the name Vombatus ursinus (common wombat). RNAcentral describes it as "Metazoan signal recognition particle RNA (ENSVURG00010013677.1)". It matches the Rfam family "Metazoan signal recognition particle RNA". Rfam says of the family: The signal recognition particle (SRP) is a universally conserved ribonucleoprotein. Lineage: Eukaryota; Metazoa; Chordata; Mammalia; Diprotodontia; Vombatidae. The record is from Rfam by way of RNAcentral.
GGUGGGUACGGUGGCAUACACUCAUAUUCCUGGGGAGGCUAGGGCUGAUGCAUCUCUGGAGCUUAGGUCUCCUGGCCUGUAGUGAGCUAAAGACAAUCAGGUUUUCACACUAUGAACCAACUAUGGUGAGCCCUCUGGAGCAGAAGAGCACAAGGCUACCUAAGGAGGGGUGGAUUGAUCCAGGUUGGAAACAGAGCAGGUCAAAGUUUCCAUGCCAAUUAAUAGUGGGAUUGACCCAUGAGUAGUAGCUGUCCUUCUAGCCUGGGCAAGAUAGGGAGACCAAGUCUUUU